RNAcentral lists this transfer RNA (69 nucleotides) under Macoma balthica. Its description in RNAcentral is "Limecola balthica tRNA-Ile". The record is from RNAcentral. Lineage: Eukaryota; Metazoa; Mollusca; Bivalvia; Cardiida; Tellinidae.
AAUGCUAUGCCGGAUAAUCGGGCUAUCUUGAUGUGGUAGACUAUGUAGGUAUUAACCCUUCUGGCAUUA